Molecule: antisense RNA, 66 nt
Filed under: [Enterobacter] lignolyticus SCF1
Lineage: Bacteria; Pseudomonadati; Pseudomonadota; Gammaproteobacteria; Enterobacterales; Enterobacteriaceae
Description: Enterobacter cloacae SCF1 rdlD antitoxin
Rfam family: rdlD antitoxin
Source: Rfam by way of RNAcentral
GUCUGGACAAAGGUUAGCCCCCGUUAUGUUGCCUGGUAAAUACCAAACAGCGUUCGGGGGUUUUCU